Molecule: RNA transcript, 7131 nt
Organism: Cephus cinctus (wheat stem sawfly)
Lineage: Eukaryota; Metazoa; Arthropoda; Insecta; Hymenoptera; Cephidae
Gene: gish
Gene name: casein kinase I
Exons: 11
Source: RefSeq, a predicted model, not a curated record
AAUCCAAUCCAAUGUCGAGUCGAGUGCGAAAGGCAGGAGGUGCUCGCAGGCUGUGCGCGACCGUUUGUUCGGAUCAGUUCGGAUCGAGGGAAGUUUUAGCAAUAGCGAGUAGGGGCUGAUACACACGAGAAAAAUAUUGGUGGUGUGACGACGACGGGGACGGACCUUGUGAUGUAAGAAGCAACGGUGUUAAAAUAAAAAAAAACAAGAAAAAUCGAGAAAAAGGUGGGAAAUCAAGAGAAGCGAAAAAAGGGAGAGGUCUUGUAUCGCUAGGGAAGCAGGCGACAUUAAAAAAAAGAGAAUUCUUAUGCUUAAAAUCGUCGCGGUUGUAUGACAAAAUCGGUUCUCCCCUUGACAAUAACAGCCUGUAAAAAAAUUCCCUCGCAGAAAAUAUUAGAUUUUGUGGUUCUUGGUGGGUCGCGGCGACAGCGACAACUCACUUGUACUCCUUGAAACAAGGGGUACGCGGUUAAAUUAGCCGAUGAGUAACUAAUUGUAAGAGGCUGAAGCUUUAGGGCGUAUCGGAUAUUACUACUAUCAUUAGCUUAUCGUUACAUUCAUUCCCUGUCGUACGUCGCCGUAGCGUUCGCGAGAGUGCGCCAGAGACAAUGGUCUGUAAUGGUGGUUUUCGCUUGUUCACAUACGGGAUACGUGCUACACAACGGGCGACAGGACGCUCCGCUAACUAGUGACCGAGCUUCUAGACUCGGUCGCUGUCGCUGCCGCGACAGGCAUCGCCGAGGCUUGGCGAGCAUGGCGAUUAAUAUUGGUCGUCCGAAGAAAGCGUCUGUGUGAUCAGGCAGAGCCGGUCUCUAAUUCGCCUUGACGACAACGACACGACUCGACGACCGACGACUCAGCGACAAAAAGGAAGUCAUUAGUUGAUCGAUCGUGCAGUGUUUAUUCUAAUCCUAUAAAAGUGUAUUAGGUGCGUGGGUGUUCAGACUUUAAGGAGAGAAUUUUUAUUAUGCUUGUGAGUAUGGGGUUUCUCUACUCCAGGAACAUCGCCUGAGACAUCAGUGACAUCAUCUUGCAGCUUGGAACCCUCCUGAGUGUUUAGGAGCAUGGAGAUCGGUUCUGUCUCUGAAGACUCCUGUGGAAACAAGCAUUGACCACUGCCCGACACCUUUUCCAUCCUUACGGUUCCUUAGCAGAGACUGCCAGCUAGUUCUCACUCUAAUAAUGCAGAAGAGGGACGGUAGAGAGGCCCGAGCUGAUAAGGAGCUCGCUAGGGGCGGCGAUCGUGAACGAGAAAGGGAGCAGGAGGCUGCUAAAAGAAUAUCUAGAGGCAGUGAGGUUCCUACUAGAUCCAAUGCUCAUUCCCGCAGACAUAGUGUUGCUUCGUCUUCUGGAGUACUCAUGGUUGGACCAAAUUUCCGUGUUGGAAAGAAGAUUGGCUGUGGCAACUUUGGAGAGCUUCGGCUUGGGAAGAAUCUGUAUAACAACGAGCAUGUAGCCAUUAAAAUGGAACCGAUGAAGUCGAAGGCGCCGCAGCUUCACUUAGAAUAUAGGUUUUACAAAUUACUAGGAACACAUGUUCAUAACACACAUAUAGAGGGCGUACCGGAGGUCUACUAUUUCGGACCAUGCGGCAAAUACAACGCUCUGGUGAUGGAGUUACUCGGUCCAAGUUUGGAGGACCUUUUUGAUCUCUGUGGUAGAAGAUUUUCCCUCAAGACCGUUCUCAACAUCGCCACACAGCUCCUGCACAGGAUAGAGUACGUGCACAGCCGCCACCUAAUCUACCGCGAUGUUAAGCCAGAGAAUUUCCUCAUCGGCAGGAGCACGACUAAACGCGAGAAGAUCAUUCACAUCAUUGACUUCGGACUAGCCAAAGAGUACAUAGACUUGGAGACGAACAAACAUAUACCCUACCGGGAACACAAAAGUCUUACGGGGACCGCCCGUUACAUGAGUAUUAACACUCACCUAGGCAAAGAACAAAGCAGAAGAGACGACCUGGAAGCCCUUGGUCAUAUGUUCAUGUAUUUCUUAAGGGGUAGUUUACCCUGGCAAGGUCUCAAAGCAGAUACUCUUAAAGAACGCUAUCAAAAGAUUGGCGAUACAAAGAGAGCCACACCCAUCGAGGUUCUCUGCGAAGGUCAUCCAGAGGAGAUGGCUACGUAUCUGCGCUACGUGAGGAGGCUUGAUUUCUUCGAGACGCCUGAUUACGAGUACCUGAGGAAGCUCUUCCAAGACCUCUACGAGAGGCGAGGCUUCGUGAACGAUGGCGGAUUCGACUGGACGGGCAAGACUAUGUCAACACCAGUCGGAUCUCUGCAAACAGGACACGAGAUCGUUGUGUCGCCCAACCGUGAUCGGCAUCCUACGGCAUACAAGGAUGUACCCGGUGGCGGGGUGGGAGCAGGGGUUGGUAAAGGGGUAGGUGCCACGUGGCCUGACGCGGUGAAGCAAUCAGGAGCUGGUGGCACUUUGACCCCUGCUGACAGACACGGUUCCGUUCAGGUGGUGUCCUCGACUAAUGGAGAAUUGGCUAAUGAUGAUCCGACCGCUGGACACUCCAACACGCCUAUCACAGCACCGCAAGAAGUGGAGAUGAUCGAUGAAACCAAUGUUUGUUUCAUUUCCAGAUGCUGUUGCUUCUUCAAGAGGAAGAAGAAGAAAAGUGGAAGGCAAAAAUGACUGUCUGUGACCGUUGGGCUCGGGGGGUCGUCAGUACAGUGCGGGGCCAUUAGUGCUGGGACAAAUCCUGGACGUGGAUCGGUUGCACUGAAGAAAACAGGAAGACCAGCAAUGCGAGAACUCCCCGAGGUGACGGAAGAGAUCAUCGGCGAAAGGGAGCGGGAGGCCGCGAUGUUACUACACGCCGGAAGCCGUUCGGUGUCGAUCACAAUAACGCCGACGCCGACGCUACCCCCGCUCCCGCUCUCGAACUGAAGAGGUCCUUAUCAGCGUCGUCGUCAUUGUUGCCGAUGUCGCCGCCUAAGAAGCUGCCGCAACUAAUUAUCGCUAAACGCUAAACUCUAUGGAUUACUAUCGUUUACUAUGAAUCAUUAUCGCCUUUAUUAUUACGGUUAUUAUUAUUAUUAUGAAUUAAUUAAUUGAUUGAUUAAUUAUUAAUUAACGUCACUCUGUUCUAUUAUCGAUUAUCCAUUUUUAAUUCAUUCAUUCAUUCAUUGAUUAUACGAUCAUCCGCGAUCGCCGUUGGACCACCGACUUUUUAUAAAAAAAAAAAAGAAAAAAAAACAACCGGCCCACGGCAAGUCCGUCCAGCUUGCACGUGGCAUCCAUGGUGUGUGUAUAUAUAUAUAUAUAUAUAUAUAUAUAUACACACACACACACACACACACACACACACACACACUACAAACAAAGAAAAGACACUUUGUAGAGAUUUCCCAGGAAUAUCAUAAUCAGGAAUUGACGUAUCUUAGCUAGGUUAGGGCUCUCGCACCCUGGCGAUGGCCGGACCUCGGCUCCAUUAACGUACUCUGAGUGAUGUGUAUGUGACUGCAGACAAACGUACGAUUUAUAUACAUGUAGCGUCAAAGUCAUUUACGUUUCUCGUAUGUUUUGCGUAUACGUUCUGCGGGAUAUGUAAACCUUGAAGAAUCAUCGCCGAAUAGUCACCAAAAACUUUAGACUCCACUGUGACAGAGACGUCCUUCACGUUGAGGAACGUCCAUGUAUUCCAUCAAUGUACUUAGAAGUUCCUGUGAGAGAGUUGUCGCAACCUUUUAUUUUCCUUCACUUUGCCAAUCCGAUAACUCCCUCGCUAUCAUCACACGAGGAUACCUAUGGAGAUCAUUUCCAUGUUUUUGUAGACAGGACACAGUCAUCAUAUACGCUUAGAAUGAGAGAUGCACAAGGAGGGUGUAAUGAGAACCAAUAAAAAAUAUAAGAAAAAAAAUGAAGUACCGAACGCACCGAAGCGUUCAGUACUGUUUCAGGAGUUGUGUCUGGAUAUGUCGUAUUCGCGAAUAAUAUGCUCGAGGUUAACGUGACAAUGGACGUCUCUAGGGCAUAUAAAUAUCGAUCGGAAGUAAAUCAUCCUCGCAUUGAUAAAAUCGAAAAUGAUAGAUCUUCGAUAUAUGGUCUUCGGGGCGAUCGGCUGCUGGACGGUUAUUAUGGUUGUGAAUAUGUUUCCAAUCGAGAGACAGACAGACUACUUGAACGUCUAACAUGGAUCUACUAUAAUAAUAAUAAUUAUUAUUAAUGGGUACGUUGCGCGUGCCUAACAGUGAUGGAAUAAUUGUAUUUAUAGGUUAUAGAUGAGACACGCGAUGAGUGAUCAUUGUUCUUCUUUGUUUCUUUGUAUAUUUGUCUAUUGCGAGUAUAGAAACCAGGUCCCGGUUACUCGCACGAAGAGAUUUUUCUGCUGGGGUGAAGCCCUAGACGCGUGUGACGAUCUGUAUUACGGUGAAGCAAAUUGAACAAGGCUAAAAUUGCGAGCUUAUCUCCAGGAAAUGUCCCAGCCACAAAGGUCUGGCUAGUGAAGUUGAAGAGUGGGCUUGUGAUAUGGCAUGUUCCUCUUUGUUUUAUUAAAUUAGUAUAUUUUUUCUUGCAUCGUGUUUUUAAAAAAAAUGACUGUGCGCGAUGGUGAUGUUUUUUGCUAUUAAAGAAAUUAAACAGAAAAAGUAGACAGAAAUGGCUAAUUAUAAUUAAAGUUGGAGCCGAGUACGCGUAUGUUAUAAUUUGUAAAUAAUACGAUACAUUCGAAACGGUAAAUAAUUAAAUGAUAUCAGGCAGUAUUCCCGCGAGUGGGACGGUGGAUUAUCGGUUGACUAAGACUAGAGAAAAAUUUGAUAAUUAAACGAGAAAAAUAAAAGAAUUAAGAAAGGAAACUCAGAAAGCGUGGGAUAAGCAUGGACGGAAAAAAAUAUAUAUCGGACGUGAUAAAUGGUGUAUCGAUAAUUCCCUUUUUUUUGAAGACCGAUUAAACCAAGAAAUGAGAGAAACAAAGUGUAUUAGCUUCGAAGUUAUUAUACGUAAUAGUUAUUAUGUGUCGAUUUAAUGACGAUUAAUGAGACCAUUUAAUUGCACGACUCGAUCGUUGAUCGUUUAAUGCUGACGAAUCACAAUGAACAAUUGUUUUAAAAAAUAUUUUAAACUAUCCUCGUUGCUAUUCUGUAUAAUCUCGAUCCAAACGUAAUCGAAUUGUGACGGAUUCUAAUGUAAAGGUACGAGACACGUUAAUUACGGUUAGAUAUACAUGAAUAUACAAAUAAACAAAUUCAUAUACAUAUAUAAAAGAAAAGACAGGAGUCACACGCAACAUUCACACACGCGCAUAUAUUAUAUACGUGCGAUGUAUAUGUAUAUGCACGCAGAAAAUAAGUUCCGCGUUUUCACAGUUAUAACGUCUUCUUACUUCGACAUACGCGGAAUUUAUUUACUUGUAUUACAAAAAAGAGAGAAAACCCCUAAGGAAAGAGAUAUAAAAAAAUAGAAAAAAAACAUUUAAAAAAGGCAUUUUUAGCCUGUGAGCCUUUUCCGGGAGGACUCCAGAGAAUCUAACGCAAAAGUUCCCCAUGGCUCUUUCGUAUGCCGAAAGUAUUUCUUCGUCCUCUAUGUCGAUUUAUGCUUUUUUUCUGCAAAGCUGUUGAAUGAAAGGAGUAUCACAAGAAAAAAGAAACGCGUACAGAAAUGGAGGGAAAAGUGAAAUUCUUCGGGAGAGUGAGUGUGUUGCGUAUGCGACAUGAGAGAGUGAUUUGAUGAGAGAUCGUAAGAGAAAAAAAUUGCCACGAUUACGUUUACGUUACAUUACGUAAGUUAUGCUGGAAAAUAUGAAGAUAAUAGCGCUAGGAUAAAAAAAAACUGGGAAAUGCGCGAAGAUUGAAAGAGAAUUAAGUAGAUGAGGAAAAUAUGGUUGAAACUUUAUAAUGGGUAGGUCCUUUCGCCGGACGUACGACCGGCUCUCCAUUUAGAAUUUGUUUAAGGUUUUUUUUGCUGUUACUGCCCCGAAUAAUGCUUAUUUCUCUAGAAGCCUCCUCAUGAGCAUUGCGCUAUGCGAACUAUUGUAAAACCAAUGACGAACUGCGAUAUUUUCACGCGCAGUCGGGUAUUCUCGUAUUCUCCUCCCAGACCCCUCCUUUUUAUUAACACACUUUAUUCGACAUCCGUCUUCAUAGAAACUUAUUAUUACCCAAAUGAAAGGGAAAAAAAUAUGCGAAAUUUAUGUAUAUAAUUAAAUUGUUUUAGAAAUAUCACCUCAUGUAUGUACGUUACUUCAUGGAUUAAUUGGCGCGCCCUGUAUGUUUGUCUACCAUCUGUCGUGUAUCUUUUCUUUAUCAUCUGUACACGGAAUCUCAUUUGAUUUCAUUUUUCAACAUUUUUUUAUAAUCAAGAGAAAAUAAUUCUUAUUAAUAUUUUCUUCUUUUUCGCGUUCUUGUAAUUUUUCAACACUCUUUCGUGUCGCUCACCCUCUAACUGGAUUCUUUUUAUUUGUAUCCCCUUCAGAGCCACGACCAGAAGUCAUCUACUUGGCUCUUUUAGAUUUCUACUAAAUGCGUAAGCUGUGAUUGGUUUUAAUUUUUAAUUUGUAUUAAUGAACUAUCGUAUAGUAAUUAUAUUAUUAUUAAUUAAUUAUUGAUUAUGAUUAUUAUUUAACGAGUUAAUUAAUGGCAAAACUGUCCUUAUUGCGGGACACUUUGAUAAAUGGGAUGGAAAACAGAGGAAAAAAGACACUCGAAAUUGCGCGAAAGCUUGUUUUUUGUAAAUACAUCGUUGUGUUACGCGCUUAGUAAGUAAAGAGAAAAAAAAUAGUUACGAACUUCCCUCUGUGUCUGCCUUUCGUUUUACUCUUCAUUUCAUUUUUUCUUGUAUUUCAUUCUCUUCUGCAAGUCUGUUAUUCACCCUCAUGCAUUUAUUUUCAUAAAAACUUUACUCUCAUUUUUUAUCACUGGCAUCCGAUUUUCGUGUUUCACUUUAUCUCUUGGAAUUCCUCGACCGGACGAUCAUCCUUGGCGUAUUUAUUCAUACUCGUGUGGUAUGCUCAAGGUGUAAGCUUCCUGGAGUCCUGCAGAAUUUUUUCAAGAGCGGUUUAGACGCUCUACGAAUUGAGCUUGAUGUCUUUGUUAUUCAUGAAAAAAAAAUGAUCCGUUCUUUACUACUGAAGAAAGAAUUAGACCAAGUACGCAGCGUGUAUAGUUGUAUUUUGAGUUGGCUUAA